GCAUAAAGGGCAUCUAGGCGGCCAGAUAAGUCUGGGGUGAAAACUUGCGGCUCAACCGCAAGCCUGCCCUGGAAACUAUGUGGCUAGAGUACUGGAGAGGUGGACGGAACUGCACGAGUAGAGGUGAAAUUCGUAGAUAUGUGCAGGAAUGCCGAUGAUGAAGAUAGUUCACUGGACGGUAACUGACGCUGAAGUGCGAAAGCUAGGGGAGCAAACAGGAUUAGAUACCCUGGUAGUCCUAGCUGUAAACGAUGAUUACUGGGUGUGGGCAUGAAGAGUGUCCGUGCCGAAGCUAAUGCGAUAAGUAAUCCGCCUGGGGAGUACGGCCGCAAGGCUGAAACUCAAAGGAAUUGACGGGGACCCGCACAAGCGGUGGAGCAUGUGGUUUAAUUCGACGCAACGCGAGGAACCUUACCAGAUCUUGACAUCC
RNAcentral lists this ribosomal RNA (430 nucleotides) under uncultured bacterium. RNAcentral describes it as "bacterial SSU rRNA". It matches the Rfam family "Bacterial small subunit ribosomal RNA", at positions 558 to 989 of the family's 1533-position model. The record is from RNAcentral.